UUUUUUUUAAUAAUUUAGUUUCGACCUAAAUAAUUUGUUAUAUAUAAUAAAAAAAU
RNAcentral lists this transfer RNA (56 nucleotides) under Belyta sp. ZJUH_2016005. RNAcentral's name for it is "tRNA-Arg". Lineage: Eukaryota; Metazoa; Arthropoda; Insecta; Hymenoptera; Diapriidae. The record is from RNAcentral.